RNAcentral lists this long non-coding RNA (259 nucleotides) under Physcomitrium patens. RNAcentral's name for it is "long non-coding RNA (PPAT_LNC007000)". The record is from RNAcentral. Lineage: Eukaryota; Viridiplantae; Streptophyta; Bryopsida; Funariales; Funariaceae.
CAGAUCGGAUUUUUGGAUCAAAGAGCUAGCUUCAAGCUCUUUUCAAGGUCACUAGUUUGGUUUCAUUAGGGUUUGUAAGGGGAGAGCAAUUGCUACUCAAAGUUAGUGUUUAUUUUGGUGUUUCGGAUUUUAUAUUAAACAUUGAUGGUUUGCAUUCUCAGUCGGUUUGUGCAAGUCGUGUAGCAUCUAUGGGUCAAAAUUUGGUAUUGUUUGGAUAGUUGGGUGUGCUAAAUGUAGACAAAAUUUUUUGUUAAUCUAA